RNAcentral lists this ribosomal RNA (252 nucleotides) under uncultured microorganism. Its description in RNAcentral is "partial 16S ribosomal RNA". It matches the Rfam family "Bacterial small subunit ribosomal RNA", at positions 524 to 776 of the family's 1533-position model. The record is from RNAcentral.
UACGUAGGUCCCGAGCGUUGUCCGGAUUUAUUGGGCGUAAAGCGAGCGCAGGUGGUUUAAUAAGUCUGAUGUAAAAGGCAGUGGCUCAACCAUUGUGUGCAUUGGAAACUGUUAGACUUGAGUGCAGUAGAGGAGAGUGGAAUUCCAUGUGUAGCGGUGAAAUGCGUAGAUAUAUGGAGGAACACCAGUAGCGAAGGCGGCCAUCUGGCUGAUAACUGACGCUGAGGCUCGAAAGCGUGGGUAGCAAACAGG